CUUCAGUGUAAGUGGCCUCCCAGAGACAUCUUUGACUUUUUAAAAAAUCUAGUUGUUGGGUCCUGGGAGGGACCUUCCUGUUUGGGGGUAAUGUGGCCCCAAGAAAGAUCUCUGGGCUCACCUGGGUUAUUUAGGUGGUCCGUGCGUCCCACCUACUGGAGCCCUCGACCUGGGAGGAGAGUCUCACCUGUGCCACCUCUGGUCUGCAGCAGGGGCAGGACAUGGGUGACAGUGGCCUGGAGGGCGACGCAGAGGGAGGAUUCUAGGACAGGUGGCAGGUGGGGGGAGAGCGUGGCAGGUUCCCAUAAACAUCCACUGAGGUCGUGGGCACUUGCAGGCUGUGCUUCCCCAGAGUGGGGUCCAGCAGCAAACCCAGGGUCCCCGCGGAACCCGGAAGCAUCGUCCUCUGCAGAUUCCAAAGGCCUUUUCUCCAGGCCGAGGCUGCAGGGCUGCUGUCUGCCUCUUUACCUGGCUUCUAGGCCGCCAGGAAGCUGGCUGGGGCCACCGGCCGGCGCUGCCUCCCUCUCUCUAUGGACGUCCGAGCGCCCCCAGCUGUCAUGGCCGCCGUGGACCAGGCUCUGAAGGAGUUUGGCAGAAUCGACAUUCUCAUUAACUGCUCCAGCAGCUCCUGCGGUCUCCCAUUCUGCAGGUGCGGCCGGGAACUUCCUGUGCCCCGCUGGCGCCUUGUCCUUCAACGCCUUC
Molecule: small RNA, 702 nt
Filed under: Pan troglodytes (chimpanzee)
Lineage: Eukaryota; Metazoa; Chordata; Mammalia; Primates; Hominidae
Description: retained intron
Source: RNAcentral